RNAcentral lists this ribosomal RNA (253 nucleotides) under uncultured bacterium. RNAcentral's name for it is "partial 16S ribosomal RNA". It matches the Rfam family "Bacterial small subunit ribosomal RNA", at positions 524 to 776 of the family's 1533-position model. The record is from RNAcentral.
UACGUAGGGUGCAAGCGUUAAUCGGAAUUACUGGGCGUAAAGCGUGCGCAGGCGGUUAUGUAAGACAGAUGUGAAAUGCCCGGGCUUAACCUGGGAACUGCAUUUGUGACUGCAUGGCUAGAGUUUGGCAGAGGGGGGUAGAAUUCCGCGUGUAGCAGUGAAAUGCGUAGAUAUGUGGAGGAACACCGAUGGCGAAGGCAGCCCCCUGGGUCAAGACUGACGCUCAUGCACGAAAGCGUGGGGAGCAAACAGG